RNAcentral lists this ribosomal RNA (891 nucleotides) under uncultured bacterium. RNAcentral's name for it is "bacterial SSU rRNA". It matches the Rfam family "Bacterial small subunit ribosomal RNA", at positions 27 to 896 of the family's 1533-position model. The record is from RNAcentral.
GAACGAACGCUGCGGGCGUGCUUAACACAUGCAAGUCGAACGCGAAAGGGACUUCGGUCCUGAGUAAAGUGGCGCACGGGUGAGUAACGCGUGGAUAAUCUACCCAAUGGUCUGGGAUAACAUUUCGAAAGGGGUGCUAAUACCGGAUAAGACCACGGAGUCUUUGGACUCUGCGGUAAAAGGUGGGGACCUUCGGGCCUACCGCAAUUGGAUGAGUCCGCGUACCAUUAGCUAGUUGGUAGGGUAAAGGCCUACCAAGGCGACGAUGGUUAGCUGGUCUGAGAGGAUGAUCAGCCACACUGGAACUGAGACACGGUCCAGACUCCUACGGGAGGCAGCAGUGGGGAAUUUUGCGCAAUGGGGGAAACCCUGACGCAGCAACGCCGCGUGAGUGAUGAAGGCCUUCGGGUCGUAAAGCUCUGUCAGAGGGGAAGAAAUGCGGGGUGCUAAUAUCACUUCCGCUUGACGGUACCCUCAAAGGAAGCACCGGCUAACUCCGUGCCAGCAGCCGCGGUAAUACGGAGGGUGCGAGCGUUGUUCGGAAUUAUUGGGCGUAAAGCGCGUGUAGGCGGUUUGUUAAGUCUGAUGUGAAGGCCCCGGGCUCAACCUGGGAAGUGCAUUGGAAACUGGCAGACUUGAAUACGGGAGAGGGUAGUGGAAUUCCUAGUGUAGGAGUGAAAUCCGUAGAUAUUAGGAGGAACACCGGUGGCGAAGGCGGCUGCCUGGACCGAUAUUGACGCUGAGACGCGAAAGCGUGGGGAGCAAACAGGAUUAGAUACCCUGGUAGUCCACGCCGUAAACGAUGAGUACUAGGUGUUGCGGGUAUUGACCCCUGCAGUGCCGCAGCUAACGCAUUAAGUACUCCGCCUGGGAAGUACGGCCGCAAGGCUA